AUUGAACGCUGGCGGCAGGCCUAACACAUGCAAGUCGAACGGUAACAGGAAGAAGCUUGCUUCUUUGCUGACGAGUGGCGGACGGGUGAGUAAUGUCUGGGAAACUGCCUGAUGGAGGGGGAUAACUACUGGAAACGGUAGCUAAUACCGCAUAACGUCGCAAGACCAAGGAGGGGGACCUUCGGGCCUCUUGCCAUCGGAUGUGCCCAGAAGGGAUUAGCUAGUAGGUGGGGUAACGGCUCACCUAGGCGACGAUCCCUAGCUGGUCUGAGAGGAUGACCAGCCACACUGGAACUGAGACACGGUCCAGACUCCUACGGGAGGCAGCAGUGGGGAAUAUUGCACAAUGGGCGCAAGCCUGAUGCAGCCAUGCCGCGUGUAUGAAGAAGGCCUUCGGGUUGUAAAGUACUUUCAGCGGGGAGGAAGGGAGUAAAGUUAAUACCUUUGCUCAUUGACGUUACCCGCAGAAGAAGCACCGGCUAACUCCGUG
This 490-nucleotide ribosomal RNA is filed under the name uncultured bacterium. RNAcentral describes it as "partial 16S ribosomal RNA". It matches the Rfam family "Bacterial small subunit ribosomal RNA", at positions 30 to 507 of the family's 1533-position model. The record is from RNAcentral.